This 372-nucleotide RNase P RNA is filed under the name Chitinophaga skermanii. RNAcentral's name for it is "Bacterial RNase P class A". It matches the Rfam family "Bacterial RNase P class A". From Rfam's summary of the family: Ribonuclease P (RNase P) is a ubiquitous endoribonuclease, found in archaea, bacteria and eukarya as well as chloroplasts and mitochondria. Its best characterised activity is the generation of mature 5'-ends of tRNAs by cleaving the 5'-leader elements of precursor-tRNAs. Cellular RNase Ps are ribonucleoproteins. The record is from Rfam by way of RNAcentral. Lineage: Bacteria; Pseudomonadati; Bacteroidota; Chitinophagia; Chitinophagales; Chitinophagaceae.
ACUACAAACCGUGCUAUCGUCGUCUCUACCUAGUAGAGAGGGAGGAAAGUCCGGGCAGCAUAGAGCAACGCACCGCCUAACAGGCGGGAUUUGUGUAAACAGAUACAGAAAGUGCCGCAGAAAAUAACCGCCUCUACUUGUAGAGGUAAGGGUGAAAAUGUAGGGUAAGAGCCUACGCUUAGCAGUGGUAACAUUACUAGGGGGUAAACCUUGCGUGUUGAAAUGCCAUGUAUACGGUCGCCCGAGGGCUGCUCGCCCGAUUGUCGACCGAGGGUAGGCAGAUAGAGGUGUUGAGUAAUCAACAUCGUAGAUAAAUGGUAGCAAUCUCUACUUGUAGAGAUACAGAACCCGGCUUAUAGGUUUGUAGUUAUU